AACCUUAUGGACCUGCGGGCGUAUACCUGCGGAAGGAUCAUUACAGAGUGUGACCCCCCUCUUAAGAAUGGGGGGUACCUCCCGUCCUUUGUUGGGUCCCUAAUUUUUAGGGGCUUUAAAGAACUUUUCUGCUUCGGCGGGGUAACCCGCCGGAACACCCUCAAAAUUCUUUGAUUUUUAAACAGUUCAGUCCGAGUACUUGAAAAUAAAUUCAAAACUUUCAGCAACGGAUCUCAGAUC
RNAcentral lists this unclassified non-coding RNA (240 nucleotides) under soil metagenome. Its description in RNAcentral is "partial contains 5.8S ribosomal RNA, internal transcribed spacer 2, and large subunit ribosomal RNA". The record is from RNAcentral.